UCGUGUCGUGAGAUGUUGGGUUAAGUCCCGCAACGAGCGCAACCCUCACCUCUUGUUGCCAUCAGGUCAUGCUAGGCACUCUAGAGGAACUGCCCCGGUCAACGGGGAGGAAGGCGGGGAUGACGUCAAGUCAUCAUGCCCCUUACGUCCUGGGCUACACACGUGCUACAAUGGCCGGUACAAAGGGAUGCAACACCGCGAGGUAGAGCUAAACCCAAAAAGCCGGUCUAAGUUCAGAUUGGAGUCUGCAACUCGACUCCAUGAAGGAGGAAUCGCUAGUAAUCGC
This 286-nucleotide ribosomal RNA is filed under the name uncultured Methylomirabilota bacterium. RNAcentral's name for it is "uncultured candidate division NC10 bacterium partial 16S ribosomal RNA". It matches the Rfam family "Bacterial small subunit ribosomal RNA", at positions 1060 to 1345 of the family's 1533-position model. The record is from RNAcentral. Lineage: Bacteria; Methylomirabilota (SeqCode).